RNAcentral lists this long non-coding RNA (282 nucleotides) under Eucalyptus grandis. RNAcentral describes it as "long non-coding RNA (EGRA_LNC000139)". The record is from RNAcentral. Lineage: Eukaryota; Viridiplantae; Streptophyta; Magnoliopsida; Myrtales; Myrtaceae.
GACGAUGGACAUCCCCGACGGGGUGAGCAUCAAGAUCAACGCCAAGGUCAUCGAGGUGGAGGGCCCCCGGGGCAAGCUCACCCGCAACUUCAAGCACCUCAACCUCGACUUCCAGCUCAUCCGGGACGAGGCCACCGGCGGCCGGAAGCUCCGCAUCGAGGCCUGGUUCGGCACCCGCAAGACCUCCGCCGCCAUCCGCACCGCCCUCAGCCACGUCGAGAACCUCAUCACCGGCGUCACCAAGGGGUACCGCUACAAGAUGCGCUUCGUCUACGCCCACUU